CCCCCUUUCUGCGUGUUCACAGCGGACCUUGAUUUAAAUGUCCAUACAAUUAAGGCACGCGGUGAAUGCUAAGGACGAGGCU
Molecule: microRNA precursor, 82 nt
Filed under: Podarcis lilfordi (Lilford's wall lizard)
Lineage: Eukaryota; Metazoa; Chordata; Lepidosauria; Squamata; Lacertidae
Rfam family: mir-124 microRNA precursor family (bases 5-77)
About the family: The mature ~21nt miRNAs are processed from hairpin precursor sequences represented here, in this case originating from the 3' arm. The bounds of the precursors are predicted based on conservation and base pairing and are not generally known.
Source: RNAcentral